Molecule: ribosomal RNA, 448 nt
Filed under: uncultured bacterium
Lineage: Bacteria
Description: bacterial SSU rRNA
Rfam family: Bacterial small subunit ribosomal RNA
Source: RNAcentral
GGCCAGACUCCUACGGGAGGCAGCAGUGGGGAAUAUUGGGCAAUGGGCGCAAGCCUGACCCAGCAACGCCGCGUGAAGGAAGAAGGCUUUCGGGUUGUAAACUUCUUUUAAGAGGGAAGAGAAGAAGACGGUACCUCUUGAAUAAGCCACGGCUAACUACGUGCCAGCAGCCGCGGUAAUACGUAGGUGGCAAGCGUUGUCCGGAUUUACUGGGUGUAAAGGGCGUGCAGCCGGGCUGACAAGUCAGAUGUGAAAUCCCGCGGCUCAACCGCGGAACUGCAUUUGAAACUGUCAGUCUUGGGUACCGGAGAGGUCAUCGGAAUUCCUUGUGUAGCGGUGAAAUGCGUAGAUAUUAGGAGGAACACCAGUGGCGAAGGCGACUUUCUGGACUGUACCUGACGCUGAGGCGCGAAAGCGUGGGUAGCGAACGGGAUUAGAUACCCCAGUA